Molecule: ribosomal RNA, 432 nt
Filed under: uncultured bacterium
Lineage: Bacteria
Description: partial 16S ribosomal RNA
Rfam family: Bacterial small subunit ribosomal RNA
Source: RNAcentral
AACGAACGCUGGCGGCAGGCUUAACACAUGCAAGUCGAACGCACCUUUCGGGGUGAGUGGCAGACGGGUGAGUCACGCGUGGGAAUCUACCCUUCUCUACGGGAUAGCUCCGGGAAACUGGAAUUAAUACCGUAUACGUCCUGAGGGAGAAAGAUUUAUCGGGGAAGGAUGAGCCCGCGUUGGAUUAGCUAGUUGGUGGGGUAAAGGCCUACCAAGGCGACGAUCCAUAGCUGGUCUAAGAGGAUGAUCAGCCACAUUGGGACUGGGACACGGCCCAAACUCCUACGGGAGGCAGCAGGGGGGAAUAUUGGACAAUGGGCGCAAGACUGAUCCAGCCAUGCCGCGUGAGUGAUGAAGGCCCUAGGGUUGUAAAGCUCUUUCAGUGGGGACGAUAAUGACGGUACCCACAGAAGAAGCCCCGGCUAACUUCGU